UACGUAGGGUGCAAGCGUCGUCCGGAAUUAUUGGGCGUAAAGAGCUCGUAGGCGGUUUGUCGCGUCUGCUGUGAAAACUCGGGGCUUAACCCCGGGCCUGCAGUGGGUACGGGCAGACUAGAGUGCGGUAGGGGAGACUGGAAUUCCUGGUGUAGCGGUGAAAUGCGCAGAUAUCAGGAGGAACACCGGUGGCGAAGGCGGGUCUCUGGGCCGAUACUGACGCUGAGGAGCGAAAGCGUGGGGAGCGAACAGG
This 253-nucleotide ribosomal RNA is filed under the name uncultured bacterium. RNAcentral describes it as "partial 16S ribosomal RNA". It matches the Rfam family "Bacterial small subunit ribosomal RNA", at positions 524 to 776 of the family's 1533-position model. The record is from RNAcentral.